RNAcentral lists this long non-coding RNA (2573 nucleotides) under Triticum aestivum (bread wheat). Its description in RNAcentral is "long non-coding RNA (TAES_LNC014070)". The record is from RNAcentral. Lineage: Eukaryota; Viridiplantae; Streptophyta; Magnoliopsida; Poales; Poaceae.
CUAGCAAUCUACCAUGCGCGUCGCGAUUACUCUGUAGCAUCAGGGAGGGGAUAAAGGACUCGAAUUCACCCUGUUAUGUCCUGACACUUGUUCAUUCUCUUCUGUAGUUGCCUCCUGGAGAGUGAAGGAAACUGAAAGAAUGGUCGCGAUCCGGACCGAGCUGACGAAGGUAAUUAUACACAUGUCUCCUGUUCUUAUAUCUCAGCCUCCUGUUGCAUCCCAGAUGCUUUUAUCUUAUCUGUCCUGUGUCCUGUGCCAUAUAGCUGGGAGCAACGGUGGAGGAAGGCCCGGACUACUGCAUCAUUACGCCACCGGAGAAGCUGAACGUCACGGCCAUCGACACCUACGACGACCACCGGAUGGCGAUGGCCUUCUCCCUGGCGGCCUGUGCCGAGGUACCAGUCACCAUCAGGGACCCCGGGUGCACCCGCAAGACGUUCCCCAACUACUUUGAUGUGCUAAGCACCUUCGUGAAGAACUAGGCUGGGAAAAUCAACAACGAAUUGCGCUUGUACUUUGUAGCCUGUCCAUGGUUUGAGGAAAUUUUGUCUUAGUCUUGUCGCGAGAUGGUGUAUGAGUCUGUAAUAUUAGUUUUGUAGCGUGUGCACCUUGAGGUAAAAUGAAAUGUAUUGCACACUGUUUUCGUUUUUUUGAAUAAGAAAUAAGUUACCGUUCUGUGAUCUAGGAGUAGAUGCAAAUGCUGCUGGUCGAGGGGGAUCUUUAGCAUGCAAGCUAUAUGAAAGGGGGUAGCAUUCCCUAAUGCAUGAAAUAUAAUUACUCAAACCUAAAUGAAAUAGUUCAGGUAUGGAUCUCAACACGAGAUCCUAUGGAGGGAGAGCGCGCUAUCGGCAUAGAAGAUCAGUGCUCAUUGUUUUUUUUUUUUGAAAUGGUGCUCAUUGUUGUUGAUUGUGCGUUAGGCAUGCUAUGGAAGCUUACUUAGUAUGGCAUUUCAACAGAUACUACUAAUGUGCUGGGCGAAAUAGUUGGUGUAAACAAGUGGGCCCAGUUUGUGUUGCGAAAGGAACAAUUACAUCAUGUGAUGAAAAAUUCCUAUCCUACAUAAAGCAAACACUGUAGCGCACAUGUCGGGAUGUGUGUAUUUCGGGUUAGUGAGUGUCGCGCCAUUGUUCAGCAGGGACUAUAUUUGUCUUCCAUCGCGACUUGCCCGCAAAGGUCUAUUCCAGUCCGGAAUAAUCACUGUCCUCGUCACUGAAGUGAGCUCUAAGAAUUGGACUGGUUAACAUACUCCACUUAAUUAUCGUAAAAUCAUUCCUGAUGCCUUCCAAGCCUACACACUUUAUAAUGAUCACUUUCGCCUGUCUUUUGUUGUCAGAGGAAAUAGGAACCAGAACUAAGAGGCACACGAGAGAUUGAUCUCCGUCCAUCGUUGCCAAAGGAAAUUGAAAUUGGAGUCAGGAGGCACGGGAGAGACUGGUAUUUAUUUGUUGGGUAUGGUGACAUGAAGGUGCCUCGCUGGCCCACCGCAUUGCAUAUCUUUUGUGUGCUUUCAGUAAUAUUUUAGCACAUGGGCUACAUAUCUCUAGUCAGCUUUGAUUUGCUAUCUUCACUUUCACAUUUAUGCGUAGUAAAAUCAUAUAUUCGCCACAUCAUAGGCUCUCAUCGGUUCCACUCCUCCACGGCCAAAUCACAUGUCCUCAAACAGGCUACAAAAUCUGGUAUGUAGGGCAACCACAUAGCAUGGCUUCCAUGGACGACACCAACACACAAAGAUGUGAAAUCAUGAGCAAGUUUACUACAAUCAUGAGGGUAACUCACCCUAAUGGUUUGAUUGACUUGAAUGGACCAUUGUAGGAAUCCUCAUCCAAUGUAUGAAUCCCCUGGAGGAAAUGGGGGAAACAAAUCGAAAGUGAGGAAACAAAUCCAAUUAGUUAUUUUGAUAGAAGCAGUCAUAGUAUCGAGGGGGAGUGUAUCACUUCACUCAUGAAGUUAACACAAGUGAGGAUUCAUUUAUAUUAUUCACAUAAUUCAAAAGAGUAAUGUCGUUUUCUCGAGGAAAACUAGCCUUCUCACUCUCGAUACAUAUGCAUCUGAGAUUCUUCUCUACAUUCUUGCAUUGAGAUGCCACAACUCUUUCCCAGGGAAUUGGGUCAAUAUGCUGGCUAGGGAAAACAAGCUAUAUCAUAUCAUAUAGAUAAGGAAGAAUGGAGUUAUUGAGCUCUUUGCACACAUCCAGUAUAAUUCAUUUCUGAUCCAUUGCGUAAAAGGGUGUCAUGUUCUCUUUACAAUGAGGGUGAUCCCCCAUCCAUGUUUGCAUAAGAAAAGAUUUGUUGUAACCUUAUCUUCCUCAAUCUGUUUCUCCUGUUGCACCCCUUGGUGCUUAAUCUGACCUGUCUUGUGCCCUAUAGCUGGGAGCAACGGUGGAGGAAGGCCCGGACUACUGCAUCAUCACGCCGCCGGAGAAACUGAAUGUCAUGGCGAUCGACACCUAUGACGACCACCGGAUGGCGAUGGCCUUCUCCCUGGCGGCCUGCACCGAGGUGCCAGUCACCAUCAGGGACCCCGGGUGCACCCGAAAGACCUUCCCCAACUACUUUGAUGUGCUAAGCACCUUC